GGCUCGAUAGCUUAAUUGGUAAAGCACUCGUUUAGCAUACGAGAUUCGUGGGUUCAAAUCCCACCUGAGCAC
Aedes aegypti (yellow fever mosquito) is the source of this 72-nucleotide non-coding RNA. The record is from Rfam. NCBI's taxonomy places the organism in Eukaryota, Metazoa, Arthropoda, Insecta, Diptera, Culicidae.